CCUACGGGGGCUGCAGUGGGGAAUAUUGGACAAUGGGCGAAAGCCUGAUCCAGCCAUGCCGCGUGUGUGAAGAAGGCCUUCGGGUUGUAAAGCACUUUCAGUGGGGAAGAAAGCCUUGGGGCUAAUACCCUCGAGGAAGGACAUCACCCACAGAAGAAGCACCAGCUAACUCCGUGCCAGCAGCCGCGGUAAUACGGAGGGUGCGAGCGUUAAUCGGAAUUACUGGGCGUAAAGCGCGCGUAGGCGGUCUGAUAAGCCGGUUGUGAAAGCCCCGGGCUCAACCUGGGAACGGCAUCCGGAACUGUCAGGCUAGAGUGCAGGAGAGGAAGGUAGAAUUCCCGGUGUAGCGGUGAAAUGCGUAGAGAUCGGGAGGAAUACCAGUGGCGAAGGCGGCCUUCUGGACUGACACUGACGCUGAGGUGCGAAAGCGUGGGUAGCAAACAGGAUUAGAUACCCUUGUAGUC
This 464-nucleotide ribosomal RNA is filed under the name Vreelandella stevensii. RNAcentral's name for it is "partial 16S ribosomal RNA". It matches the Rfam family "Bacterial small subunit ribosomal RNA", at positions 338 to 795 of the family's 1533-position model. The record is from RNAcentral. Lineage: Bacteria; Pseudomonadati; Pseudomonadota; Gammaproteobacteria; Oceanospirillales; Halomonadaceae.